This 2395-nucleotide long non-coding RNA is filed under the name Homo sapiens (human). RNAcentral describes it as "HSALNT0204817". Lineage: Eukaryota; Metazoa; Chordata; Mammalia; Primates; Hominidae. The record is from RNAcentral.
AUUUUAUUUAGCCCAUAAUUCUGUGGCUCAGCCAUGUGAUCCUGCUGAGAAAGUUCGGCUGACCUCUGCUGGGUUUUCUCAUGCGUCUAUUGCCAGACUGUAAGGUUAGCCAAGAGAAAGGACUAGUAGACCCAAGGCAAGCAAGUUUUGUUGUCCUGCCAGGCUGCUUGACAGGCAGAGGAGGCAGCCUGGCUUACAGACUACAGCAGGGCUUUAUAGGCCGAGGAACUGGGUCAGAAUGUGGGGACUGAGUCAGGGCUACAGGUGUCCUAACCGCAUCCUGGAGAUGUUUGUUGCCAGCUUUGUUAUGCAAGGUGGAGAGUAGAAGAGAGGAUAAUAUAAAGAUCACGCCAAGUGAGUUUGUAAGAUUGGGUAAGGUAUUUGAACUCCUUAAUAUAAGUGUCGGGAUCAGAGAAAAAGGACUCCAGAUGUUUUUCAAUUUGGAAAUGGUCAGAGAGGGAGAAGGGAACAUGGAAAUGCAAAUGAUCCCUUCAGUCCCAGCCACCUCUCAAAGGAUUGCUCUCAUGGAUCUUCAGCCAAGGCUAGAAAUCAAACCAUUCUAGGAUUCACCUGGAAGUGCUGGGAAAAUUGUACUGAAUUUGCUAUUCCAGGGAUAGCUCUGUCUUAGUCUGUUCUCACGCUGCUACUAAAGACAUACUUUCCUUAUAAAGGAAAGAGGUUUAAUUAACUCACAGUUCCACAUGGCUGUGAGGCCUCACAACCAUGGCAGAAAGCAAAGAAGGAACAAAGUCAUGGCGGCAGGCAAGAGAGCUUGUGCAGGGGAACUUCCCUUUGUAAAACCAUAAGAUCUCCUGAGACUUAUUCACUACCAUGAGAACAGUAUGGGGGAAACUGUCCCCAUGAUUCAAUCAUCUCUACCUGUCUGCACCCUUGACACAUGGGGAUUACUACAAUUCAAGGUGAGAUUUGGGUGGGGACACAGUAAAACCAUAUCAGCUCUUUACUCAUUCCAUGACUAUCUAUUAUAGUUAUCAUUUGUAAGCAGUAUCAGAGACACUAGGUAUUCAGUGACAACAGAAAAGAAAUCUUUGUGACCUCAUUGAGAUAAUCUUUUUAACAUGGAAAAGAAUGUAAAGUUGCAAACAAUUGAAUUGCAAAGGAAUUUUUCAGAUUUUGCUGGGAAGAUUUUUGGCUUAGUAUAUCUGAAAAUACCCACAUUUUCAAUUUAUUUUAAGAUAUAAAAUUUGUAGGUACUACUUUUGUGAUAUUUGACGCCAGAUACUUCCUUAUGGCAAGAUCUUUUCCUCUGUACCCCUAGUCCUUUGCUAAAGAGGGGAAUACAAGUUUCUGUAUUACCAGCCUAUAGUACUUGCGGGCCAAUGAGAAGUAAAAUGCAUUAAGUAGUUUAUAAUCCUGCAGUACCCCUUAAGGUUUCUUUCUUCUAUUAUAAUAUUAUGACACAAAUGUCUGGUAGUAAAUAGAUGUGCAAAUAUAGUGAAAUUAUUCUUGUUCUCUAAACUAUCUUAUAAUAAUUAUAUUUACAUAUCUUGUUCUUUCUGUGUUGGUCAGAUAGUUGAAAUGCAUAGUUGUUCUGAAAAAGGGCCUAUAAAUUAGGGAACUUUGAACAAAGAUGACAUCAGUAUUUUUUUUUAUAUGAUAGCAAUUUUAGUGGUUCAUUUCUGAAGAACUUAAUUUGUUUAGCUUAAAAACACAAGAUACUUCACUUAAAAUAUUUGUGAAAAUUAAGAGCAUCAUUAAAAUAAGCAUACUCUGUUGUUUUUGUAAAUAUCAAACAUAAAUAUGAAACAUGGCAGCUCUAUUUAUAAUUACAAAACUUGGAAGCAACCAUAUUGUUUUUCAAUAGGUGAGUGGAUAAACAAACUUUGAUAAAUCAUACAAUAUAAUAUUAUUUAGUGAUAAAAAGAAAUGAACCAAUAAACCACAAAAAGACAUGGAAGAAAAUUAAAUGUAUAUUACAAGGUGAAAGAAAUUAGUCUAAAAAGGCUAAGUACAGUAUGAUUCUCAAAUAUAUGACAUUAUGGUAAAUGCAAAAGAUAGUAAAAAGAUCAGACGUUUCCAGGGGCUUUGUGAAGAGGGUAUGAAAGGUGAGAGAUGGAACCCUGAGCAUUUUCAGGGCAAUAAAACUAUUCUAUAUGAUGCUGUACAGAUGGAUUUAUAACAUUAUACAUUUGUCACAGCUGUAGAAUGUACAACUUAAGAGUGAACACUAAUAUAAACUAUGGAUUUUCCUUGAUAAACUUGUAAUAAUACUGGCUCCUGAAGUGCAAAAAAUGUACCAUACUAAUGCAAGAUCUUGAUAAUAGGGGAAACUCUGUAUAUGUGUGCAUAUGUAUGUGCAUUGGGAGGAGAAUGUAUAUGGAAACUGUAACCUUUGCUCAGUUUUUUUUGAAACUUAAAACUAGUUUAAAAGAAU